CCUACGGGUGGCAGCAGUGGGGAAUAUUGCGCAAUGGGCGAAAGCCUGACGCAGCGACGCCGCGUGAGGGAUGAAGGUCUUCGGAUCGUAAACCUCUGUCAGCAGGGAAGAACGGUCACUGUGCUAAUCAGCAGUGAAUUGACGGUACCUGCAAAGGAAGCACCGGCUAACUCCGUGCCAGCAGCCGCGGUAAUACGGAGGGUGCGAGCGUUAAUCGGAAUUACUGGGCGUAAAGCGCUCGUAGGCGGUAUGUCAAGUCAAGGGUGAAAUCCCCGCGCUCAACGUGGGAACUGCCUUUGAAACUGGCAAACUGGAGUGUGUGAGAGGAUAGUGGAAUUCCAGGUGUAGGAGUGAAAUCCGUAGAUAUUUGGAAGAACACCGAUGGCGAAGGCAGCCCCCUGGGACGCAACUGACGCUCAUACACGAAAGCGUGGGGAGCAAACAGGAUUAGAUACCCUAGUAGUC
Molecule: ribosomal RNA, 465 nt
Filed under: uncultured bacterium
Lineage: Bacteria
Description: partial 16S ribosomal RNA
Rfam family: Bacterial small subunit ribosomal RNA
Source: RNAcentral